GGACUGCAGCAUUACUGGUGUGAAAUGUCACCAGAUCAUUGGUUUUAUAGUUAACAGUAAGGGUGUUUGGUUCCGGUUUUGGUACGGUUCUAGCCCAAAAUCAUACCUUCGGUUCUUUGACUUUUAGGAACCAAACUUCGGUUCUAGUUUCGAUUUGGUUUUAAGUAAUUUUGAUACUGUUCCAGUUCUAGUUUUGAUUUUAAUUUCGUUUCAAAUUUGUCUCUAAUUUUAUUUCAAAUCUU
RNAcentral lists this unclassified non-coding RNA (242 nucleotides) under Hevea brasiliensis (rubber tree). Lineage: Eukaryota; Viridiplantae; Streptophyta; Magnoliopsida; Malpighiales; Euphorbiaceae. The record is from RNAcentral.